RNAcentral lists this ribosomal RNA (492 nucleotides) under uncultured bacterium. RNAcentral's name for it is "partial 16S ribosomal RNA". It matches the Rfam family "Bacterial small subunit ribosomal RNA", at positions 29 to 507 of the family's 1533-position model. The record is from RNAcentral.
AGUGAACGCUGGCGGUAGGCCUAACACAUGCAAGUCGAGCGGCAGCACAGUAAGAGCUUGCUCUUACGGGUGGCGAGUGGCGGACGGGUGAGGAAUACAUCGGAAUCUACUUUUUCGUGGGGGAUAACGUAGGGAAACUUACGCUAAUACCGCAUACGACCUACGGGUGAAAGCAGGGGAUCUUCGGACCUUGCGCGAUUGAAUGAGCCGAUGUCGGAUUAGCUAGUUGGCGGGGUAAAGGCCCACCAAGGCGACGAUCCGUAGCUGGUCUGAGAAGAUGAUCAGCCAGACUGGAACUGAGACACGGUCCAGACUCCUACGGGAGGCAGCAGUGGGGAAUAUUGGACAAUGGGCGCAAGCCUGAUCCAGCCAUACCGCGUGGGUGAAGAAGGCCUUCGGGUUGUAAAGCCCUUUUGUUGGGAAAGAAAAGCAGCAGGUUAAUACCCCGCUGUUCUGACGGUACCCAAAGAAUAAGCACCGGCUAACUUCGUG